AAUAUUGGACAAUGGGGGCAACCCUGAUCCAGCCGUGCCGCGUGAGUGAAGAAGGUCUACGGAUUGUAAAGCACUUUUAGUUGGGAGGAAGGGUUGUAGGUUAAUACCCUGAAAUUUUGACGUUACCAACAGAAUAAGCACCGGCUCACUCCGUGUCAGCAGCCGCGGUAAUACGAAGGGUGCAAGCGUUAAUCGGAAUUACUGGGCGUAAAGCGCGCGUAGGUGGUUCGUUAAGUUGGAAGUGAAAGCCCCGGGCUUAACCUGGGAAUUGCUUUCAAAACUGACGAGCUAGAGUACGGUAGAGGGUAGUGGAAUUUCCUGUGUAGCGGUGAAAUGCGUAGAUAUAGGAAGGAACACCAGUGGCGAAGGCGACUACCUGGACUGAUACUGACACUGAGGUGCGAAAGCGUGGGGAGCAAACA
Molecule: ribosomal RNA, 422 nt
Filed under: uncultured bacterium
Lineage: Bacteria
Description: partial 16S ribosomal RNA
Rfam family: Bacterial small subunit ribosomal RNA
Source: RNAcentral